AGAUCAAUACAAAAUCAUUGGCUCAACCAAAUUUUAUAAGCUUUGCAAAAGUUUGAGAAUGAGAAACAAAUACCACGGGCUGAAAAUCUAAAGAUAGAGUACUCACUUUCUCUCAUUCAGGUAUUCAUAAGGCAAGGAAGGUUUCCUUCCCAUGACAGGCUUCAGAAUUUUACACAUGCAAAGGAAGGAAAGCUGUACACAAAUAAGAGUGCACGCCAAAUACAUAUUGACAAAG
RNAcentral lists this unclassified non-coding RNA (235 nucleotides) under Hevea brasiliensis (rubber tree). Lineage: Eukaryota; Viridiplantae; Streptophyta; Magnoliopsida; Malpighiales; Euphorbiaceae. The record is from RNAcentral.